RNAcentral lists this ribosomal RNA (501 nucleotides) under Pseudomonas fulva. RNAcentral's name for it is "bacterial SSU rRNA". It matches the Rfam family "Bacterial small subunit ribosomal RNA", at positions 10 to 504 of the family's 1533-position model. The record is from RNAcentral. Lineage: Bacteria; Pseudomonadati; Pseudomonadota; Gammaproteobacteria; Pseudomonadales; Pseudomonadaceae.
AAGUUGAUCAUGGCUCAGAUUGAACGCUGGCGGCAGGCCUAACACAUGCAAGUCGAGCGGAUGACGGGAGCUUGCUCCUGUGAUUCAGCGGCGGACGGGUGAGUAAUGCCUAGGAAUCUGCCUGGUAGUGGGGGACAACGUUUCGAAAGGAACGCUAAUACCGCAUACGUCCUACGGGAGAAAGCAGGGGACCUUCGGGCCUUGCGCUAUCAGAUGAGCCUAGGUCGGAUUAGCUUGUUGGUGAGGUAAUGGCUCACCAAGGCGACGAUCCGUAACUGGUCUGAGAGGAUGAUCAGUCACACUGGAACUGAGACACGGUCCAGACUCCUACGGGAGGCAGCAGUGGGGAAUAUUGGACAAUGGGCGAAAGCCUGAUCCAGCCAUGCCGCGUGUGUGAAGAAGGUCUUCGGAUUGUAAAGCACUUUAAGUUGGGAGGAAGGCAUUGUAGAUUAAUACUCCGCACAUUUUGACGUACCGACAGAAUAAGACGGGCAUCACUGA